This 2131-nucleotide long non-coding RNA is filed under the name Homo sapiens (human). Its description in RNAcentral is "HSALNT0141745". The record is from RNAcentral. Lineage: Eukaryota; Metazoa; Chordata; Mammalia; Primates; Hominidae.
AUGCAAAAUGAGGCAGAACUUAGCUUGUCACAUAGGUGUAUUCUUCCUGGAACCGAUGCGGGGUCAGAAAACUGAUGGCUUUUAAGCAAGCUGGACGGGUCCUCUCAGCGCAUUCCCCCACCCGCCUGGCGCCAAUGGAGCUGGCCUGGCCCGCCCAGCCCCUCCCCGCCCCGUCCGCGCUCGGACCGGACUUUCAGGACUGCAGGGGAAAGGGUGGACACCCAGCCUCCCGCCAGGUCAGAGCAGAGGCUAAAAAUGGCCCAGGGGAGACUGCUGGAGUUGCAUGGAGUUCGGGAGCCUAGGAGGGGUCUGAAAAUAACUGUCAAAAAGUUUGAAGGGAGGAUACAAAAAUACAUCAGUUUGCAAACCAGAAGAAGGUCCUCACCAGAAACCAACUAUGCUGGCACCCUGAUCUUGGACUUCUAGCCUCCAGAACUGUGAGAAAUAAAUGUGUGUUUAUAAACCAGUCAGUCAGUCUAUGGUGCUUUAUUAUAGCAUCUGGAACGAGCUAAGACAGCUGCUAAGUAGCAUUCCAUUUGACAAGGAAGACUUACCAUUCACACUACUUCUGAGUUCAAUGAAAGAGAGGCUCGCAAUAGAAAACUUAUACAGUACUUUCUAUGGUCAGUUGUGAUCAUAAAAAGAGAGUAAGAAGAAAAACAACUCUGAAAGACAAGAUUUGGUUUCUCUCUUUCAUUGUACACAUAAAAUAAGACUUGACCAUCUGGAAAAAGGAAGCCUGAGAAUGAAUAUAUAAGAAGAGGACAUAAAAUGGUGGAAAGAGAAAGCAUGGUUUUAGCAGCCAAAUUCUGAAAUAAGGCUAAACCUACAUGGAGGCAUUUCUUCAGCUUGAAGGAAGGAAUUUAACCCAAAGACAUUGGAAAAUGACUUGACAGAGUCACACAGGAAAUUGUUGUAGGAAUUAGAACUAGAAAUCUGGUCUCCUGAUGAUCAUUUCUAGGAAUGGCUACUAAAAAAUCAAAGAAAAAGAUUUCAAUAGAACUAGAAAUCUGGUCUCCUGAUGAUCAUUUCUAGGAAUGGCUACUAAAAAAUCAAAGAAAAAGAUUUCAAUCAUCUUAAAGCAAACAGUCUCAUACUGGAGUGGUGAGGAUGGUAAAUUUUAAAGAAAACAGGCCCUCUUUGAUGUAACACUGGUUAACCCAUUAAGCCACAGUCUCUACUAUUACAGCUUUUGGAUGUGACCAAAUCUCUCCAAAUUGAAGUAACAAGCAAGGCCAAAGCAGCCACACUCUUUUUGGGUGGAUUUGUCUCCCCUACACACCAUUCUUUCCCAUAUACUAGAUGUUUAGUAACUUUUGUCUCAGAUAGACUGAAGACACUAAAAGCUGCUAUUGUUCAUUAAAAAGCAAGGCCAAAGACAUGCUGGGCUAAUAUGGUACACUAAAGUUGGUAAUUUGAUUGGUUUGGACUGAUUGCCUACAACUGUCUGAUUAAAUGUUAAAAUACAAAAAUUACAGGAUAUCAUUAUAUCUGGGGGAAAUAAUGUAAUGCCUGCACAACCCAAGCCAUAUCCUAUUACUCUUCCCUAUGAAGGGCCUGGAUGUCAUUCAAUUUUUCCAAAGUAAAGCAAGGUGCAAGGUCAAAAUAGACCCACAAUGUAAUCUGUCCUCUCUCAGAAUGUAAUAACGUUACUUUCUUACUGGCUUUGUUAGUUACAGGCUAACGUCAACCACAGUCUUAACAACCUGACGGAACAGGUUCAGAGACCUGGGAGCCUGAAGGGAAAAUGAAAAUAACAAAAACAAAAAACAAGAAAGGUGCUGGCUGAACAAUGGCUAAAAUGAAAAUAGCACACAAAGUUAAAAAUUGAAAAACCUAAGAGAGAGAGAGAUAGUAUAUGUGUACGUAUAUGUACGUAUAUGUAUAUUUACUUCCCCUAGGUUAGGAUAUAGAAGGUCCUCAAGCCUGCUUUUAUUUAACUUUGCUGAAAGUUUUUCAGUAGUUUUCCAUCUUUAUGUUCAGACCACAUAAGAAAAUGUCCAAAUAAACCAUCAGAAAGAUUUACAUGUUUUAUAACAAGGAGCCACUUAACUAAACAGACCCAGAAAUUCUCAAUGCCAUUUAGGUAGAUUUCAUCUAUUCACUUGCAUAAAACAUCUGGUGCUCACCA